GAGUGAAAUAGAACCUGAAACCGUGUGCUUACAAGUAGUCAGAGCCCGUUAAUGGGUGAUGGCGUGCCUUUUGUAGAAUGAACCGGCGAGUUACGAUUUGAUGCAAGGUUAAGCAGUAAAUGUGGAGCCGUAGCGAAAGCGAGUCUGAAUAGGGCGUUUAGUAUUUGGUCGUAGACCCGAAACCAGGUGAUCUACCCUUGGUCAGGUUGAAGUUCAGGUAACACUGAAUGGAGGACCGAACCGACUUACGUUGAAAAGUGAGCGGAUGAACUGAGGGUAGCGGAGAAAUUCCAAUCGAACCUGGAGAUAGCUGGUUCUCUCCGAAAUAGCUUUAGGGCUAGCCUCAAGUGAUGAUUAUUGGAGGUAGAGCACUGUUUGGACGAGGGGCCCCUCUCGGGUUACCGAAUUCAGACAAACUCCGAAUGCCAAUUAAUUUAACUUGGGAGUCAGAACAUGGGUGAUAAGGUCCGUGUUCGAAAGGGAAACAGCCCAGACCACCAGCUAAGGUCCCAAAAUAUAUGUUAAGUGGAAAAGGAUGUGGCGUUGCCCAGACAACUAGGAUGUUGGCUUAGAAGCAGCCAUCAUUUAAAGAGUGCGUAAUAGCUCACUAGUCGAGUGACACUGCGCCGAAAAUGUACCGGGGCUAAACAUAUUACCGAAGCUGUGGAUUGUCCUUUGGACAAUGGUAGGAGAGCGUUCUAAGGGCGUUGAAGCAUGAUCGUAAGGACAUGUGGAGCGCUUAGAAGUGAGAAUGCCGGUGUGAGUAGCGAAAGACGGGUGAGAAUCCCGUCCACCGAUUGACUAAGGUUUCCAGAGGAAGGCUCGUCCGCUCUGGGUUAGUCGGGUCCUAAGCUGAGGCCGACAGGCGUAGGCGAUGGAUAACAGGUUGAUAUUCCUGUACCACCUAUAAUCGUUUUAAUCGAUGGGGGGACGCAGUAGGAUAGGCGAAGCGUGCGAUUGGAUUGCACGUCUAAGCAGUAAGGCUGAGUAUUAGGCAAAUCCGGUACUCGUUAAGGCUGAGCUGUGAUGGGGAGAAGACAUUGAGUCUUCGAGUCGUUGAUUUCACACUGCCGAGAAAAGCCUCUAGAUAGAAAAUAGGUGCCCGUACCGCAAACCGACACAGGUAGUCAAGAUGAGAAUUCUAAGGUGAGCGAGCGAACUCUCGUUAAGGAACUCGGCAAAAUGACCCCGUAACUUCGGGAGAAGGGGUGCUCUUUAGGGUUAACGCCCAGAAGAGCCGCAGUGAAUAGGCCCAAGCGACUGUUUAUCAAAAACACAGGUCUCUGCUAAACCGUAAGGUGAUGUAUAGGGGCUGACGCCUGCCCGGUGCUGGAAGGUUAAGAGGAGUGGUUAGCUUCUGCGAAGCUACGAAUCGAAGCCCCAGUAAACGGCGGCCGUAACUAUAACGGUCCUAAGGUAGCGAAAUUCCUUGUCGGGUAAGUUCCGACCCGCACGAAAGGCGUAACGAUUUGGGCACUGUCUCAACGAGAGACUCGGUGAAAUCAUAGUACCUGUGAAGAUGCAGGUUACCCGCGACAGGACGGAAAGACCCCGUGGAGCUUUACUGUAGCCUGAUAUUGAAAUUCGGCACAGCUUGUACAGGAUAGGUAGGAGCCUUUGAAACGUGAGCGCUAGCUUACGUGGAGGCGCUGGUGGGAUACUACCCUAGCUGUGUUGGCUUUCUAACCCGCACCACUUAUCGUGGUGGGAGACAGUGUCAAGCGGGCAGUUUGACUGGGGCGGUCGCCUCCUAAAAGGUAACGGAGGCGCUCAAAGGUUCCCUCAGAAUGGUUGGAAAUCAUUCAUAGAGUGCAAAGGCAUAAGGGAGCUUGACUGCGAGACCUACAAGUCGAGCAGGGUCGAAAGACGGACUUAGUGAUCCGGUGGUUCCGCAUGGAAGGGCCAUCGCUCAACGGAUAAAAGCUACCCCGGGGAUAACAGGCUUAUCUCCCCCAAGAGUUCACAUCGACGGGGAGGUUUGGCACCUCGAUGUCGGCUCAUCGCAUCCUGGGGCUGUAGUCGGUCCCAAGGGUUGGGCUGUUCGCCCAUUAAAGCGGUACGCGAGCUGGGUUCAGAACGUCGUGAGACAGUUCGGUCCCUAUCCGUCGUGGGCGUAGGAAAUUUGAGAGGAGCUGUCCUUAGUACGAGAGGACCGGGAUGGACAUACCUCUGGUGUACCAGUUGUCGUGCCAACGGCAUAGCUGGGUAGCUAUGUGUGGACGGGAUAAGUGCUGAAAGCAUCUAAGCAUGAAGCCCCCCUCAAGAUGAGAUUUCCCAACUUCGGUUAUAAGAUCCCUCAAAGAUGAUGAGGUUAAUAGGUUCGAGGUGGAAGCAUGGUGACAUGUGGAGCUGACGAAUACUAAUCGAUCGAAGACUUAAUCAA
Molecule: ribosomal RNA, 2383 nt
Filed under: Staphylococcus aureus M16552
Lineage: Bacteria; Bacillati; Bacillota; Bacilli; Caryophanales; Staphylococcaceae
Description: bacterial LSU rRNA
Rfam family: Bacterial large subunit ribosomal RNA
Source: RNAcentral